This is a non-coding RNA of Schizosaccharomyces pombe (fission yeast), 216 nucleotides long. The record is from the annotation of a GenBank genome assembly. NCBI's taxonomy places the organism in Eukaryota, Fungi, Ascomycota, Schizosaccharomycetes, Schizosaccharomycetales, Schizosaccharomycetaceae.
AGCAACAUUGGGUAUGAAUCGUUCCACCUACGAAGGAAUAUUUGUUUUGAAGAAAAAGGUAGGAAGUUUAAGUAGGAUCAAUGAUUCACAAGCUAAUAUGUAAUUCUAUUUGAUUCUUAGUGCAAUCUAAAGUCAUAAAAUCAUUCAUUGUACAUUCAUCUUAUAUUGCCCAUUCAAGUAGAUUAUGAUCACACAUGCCCAAACUAUUAAAUCCAG